AACGAACGCUGGCGGCAUGCCUAACACAUGCAAGUCGAACGAGACCUUCGGGUCUAGUGGCGCACGGGUGCGUAACGCGUGGGAACCUGCCCUUAGGUUCGGAAUAACUCCCCGAAAGGGGUGCUAAUACCGGAUAAUGUCUUCGGACCAAAGAUUUAUCGCCUUUGGAUGGGCCCGCGUUGGAUUAGCUAGUUGGUAGGGUAAAAGCCUACCAAGGCGACGAUCCAUAGCUGGUCUGAGAGGAUGAUCAACCACACUGGGACUGAGACACGGCCCAGACUCCUACGGGAGGAAGCAGUGGGGAAUAUUGGACAAUGGGCGAAAGCCUGAUCCAGCAAUGCCGCGUGAGUGAUGAAGGCCUUAGGGUUGUAAAGCUCUUUUACCCGGGAUGAUAAUGACAGUACCGGGAGAAUAAGCUCCGGCUAACUCCGUG
Molecule: ribosomal RNA, 433 nt
Filed under: uncultured bacterium
Lineage: Bacteria
Description: partial 16S ribosomal RNA
Rfam family: Bacterial small subunit ribosomal RNA
Source: RNAcentral